RNAcentral lists this ribosomal RNA (897 nucleotides) under Fusarium lichenicola. RNAcentral describes it as "LSU rRNA". It matches the Rfam family "Eukaryotic large subunit ribosomal RNA", at positions 35 to 962 of the family's 3401-position model. RNAcentral also lists the same sequence under 1 other name. Lineage: Eukaryota; Fungi; Ascomycota; Sordariomycetes; Hypocreales; Nectriaceae. The record is from RNAcentral.
UAAGCAUAUCAAUAAGCGGAGGAAAAGAAACCAACAGGGAUUGCCCCAGUAACGGCGAGUGAAGCGGCAACAGCUCAAAUUUGAAAUCUGGCUCUCGGGCCCGAGUUGUAAUUUGUAGAGGAUGCUUUUGGUGAGGUGCCUUCCGAGUUCCCUGGAACGGGACGCCAUAGAGGGUGAGAGCCCCGUCUGGUUGGACACCGAUCCUCUGUAAAGCUCCUUCGACGAGUCGAGUAGUUUGGGAAUGCUGCUCUAAAUGGGAGGUAUAUGUCUUCUAAAGCUAAAUACCGGCCAGAGACCGAUAGCGCACAAGUAGAGUGAUCGAAAGAUGAAAAGAACUUUGAAAAGAGAGUUAAACAGUACGUGAAAUUGUUGAAAGGGAAGCGCUUGUGACCAGACUUGGGCUUGGUUGAUCAUCCGGGGUUCUCCCCGGUGCACUCUUCCGGCUCAGGCCAGCAUCAGUUCGCCCUGGGGGACAAAGGCUUCGGGAAUGUGGCUCUCUCCGGGGAGUGUUAUAGCCCGUUGCGUAAUACCCUGUGGCGGACUGAGGUUCGCGCAUUCGCAAGGAUGCUGGCGUAAUGGUCAUCAGUGACCCGUCUUGAAACACGGACCAAGGAGUCGUCUUCGUAUGCGAGUGUUCGGGUGUCAAACCCCUACGCGAAAUGAAAGUGAACGCAGGUGAGAGCUUCGGCGCAUCAUCGACCGAUCCUGAUGUUAUCGGAUGGAUUUGAGUAAGAGCAUACGGGGCCGGACCCGAAAGAAGGUGAACUAUGCCUGUGUAGGGUGAAGCCAGAGGAAACUCUGGUGGAGGCUCGCAGCGGUUCUGACGUGCAAAUCGAUCGUCAAACAUGGGCAUGGGGGCGAAAGACUAAUCGAACCUUCUAGUAGCUGGUUUCCGCC